This 428-nucleotide long non-coding RNA is filed under the name Coffea arabica (coffee). RNAcentral describes it as "long non-coding RNA (CARA_LNC007390)". Lineage: Eukaryota; Viridiplantae; Streptophyta; Magnoliopsida; Gentianales; Rubiaceae. The record is from RNAcentral.
UACCUGACUCCACUCAAAGUGCCCUUAGCUAAAGGUUUUCUCAAAAGAUUAAUGUUUCUUCUAAAUGUGUUUCAAUUUUAGGUAGCCAUGUAAAUACUAUAUGUAUGCCUCUGUGAUUUAUGUCAAUUUCACUCUAAACAUUUUAAAGCUUGGGAUCCUCCUCAAAACACCAGAGUAUCUUAAUCUAUAACUAACAUGGUCUUAAUUGGUUGGGCAGAAAACAAUCACAAGCAUAAAAUGUAAUUAUCCUACUCAUGUUAGGGGUUAGCAUUUUUGUAUUUUCAGAGACCUAUCCAAAGUUACUCCCCCAAUUCAAAGAAUUUCAGACUCUCUUGCAAUUACUCAUGCACUGUUAAGCUGCAUCUGUAUAUUAGCAUAACACCAGAGAAGCCUAAGCAGUAUGUCUCUCAUAAUAUAACAUAAAAAGG